CUGGCCUGGACUAUGCGUGCAGGCAGCUUUCUGGCUUAGGGGCUUGUCCCUCUCCCAGAAUCUACCCACCAGCUCCUGAGCCUCACACGCAGGUUAAGAGGGGCUCACAGCAGUUGUCCUCCCCGCAGCUGAACAGCUGAUCCCUGGCCACACUGACUCCUAGCCCUUGUUUUUUCCCAUCUCUAAGGAGUCCCUAUGUCCUGAGGAGUUGUCCUUUGCCACAUUUCCCAGUUUUCCUCAUUCAGUAAUUCUUUAUUAAAUGCCUGUUGUGGGUCAGGAGCUUUGCUGGGUACUGGGAGCACCUAGCCAUAGAGAUCCCGCUCCUACCAGUGAGUACUCAUUGUGCAGAGACAGACCACAGGAAAGCAAAAAGAUUAAUCAGCCUUGGCUGCCUGACCUGUUCUUUGUCCUCAGCCAUAAUACAGCAUGCAGACAAUUCUUCAUUAACCAGAGAGGGGGAAGAAGGGGCGUGCUGGGAGGAGGGUGUGGAUCAGCAUAACCAUGGUCAACUUUCCAUGGCCUUGGGACAUAUUAAAUGUGGCUAAGGCUCAGCUGGACUUUGGACAUGUUCGGCAUUUAAGACGCUGCCCAUUCAUACUGAGUCUGCCCUCCUUCACCUCCAAAAGGAGUAGUCUAGGAAGAGAGGUGCCAAGCCUUUGUUCUGGAGUCUGGGGCUCUGGAAGAGGCCAAGAUCACUCCUCCCCCUCUGUAUUGGGAGCUUCAACAGAGGCCACUUGCUACCCCCCUCCUUUGGCUUAUAGGGAAGUAGUUUAUCAGCUUCUAUUCAAUUAUCCAACAAUUCAAGGGGCAGGUGCACCUUAACAAAUAAAGGGCUUCCCUCCCUUCUCCUGUGAACAGGGGAAGAAGGUUCAGAUGGGC
This 879-nucleotide long non-coding RNA is filed under the name Homo sapiens (human). Its description in RNAcentral is "HSALNT0392500". Lineage: Eukaryota; Metazoa; Chordata; Mammalia; Primates; Hominidae. The record is from RNAcentral.